GUCUCUCGGCUUUCUCGCUCACUCUAUGUCCACUGAAAUUUCAAGAAAGAUUCAAGUGGAAAACGGGUGAAAUUAGCAGGAUCCAGUAAUGAAAAUGGCAGUUUGAAGGCUGAAGUUGAAGAAAGUUCAGCUGCUGGUGACAACAAGCUAGCUGAAGAAAGCUCUAAACCUUCCGAGCCACCCAAGCAAGACUAUAUCCAUGUCAGGGCAAGAAGGCUCAUGGAAUACUCUUCCCAAACUUAAGACACUUAAUCAGUAAGCGAGUGAACGACAUAAGUUUCUAAAUUACAGAGAGGAGAUAUCUUAUUACAAGGAACUCUCUCCAACAGAACUCAGUCCAAAAGAACAUUUGCUACUCUUAAAAGCAUUAUGUGGACUCCAAGCUCAAAUUUGACAAGAUCAUCAACAAGGAAAAACCGAAUAAGGUGGUUUUGAAGACGAUAAGGACUUGAAGAAGCAGCUGACGCUGAUCUAUCCCAGAGACGAAGGCAAAUCUCUACUAAACAGCCCAUAUUGGCCGACGACAGAGAUUUAGUAUGCAAAGUCAGCGAAGCUGGUGAGGUUUCCAAGGACGUCACCAAUUUCGUGAAGUUGCUGGAGAACAAAUUGGAAAAGUUCAAUGCUUUCUUUGUGGAGAAGGAGGAGUGGUACGUUAGUAGAUGGAAGGUAUAA
This is a long non-coding RNA of Pyrus x bretschneideri (Chinese white pear), 672 nucleotides long. RefSeq lists it as uncharacterized. The transcript has 6 exons. NCBI's taxonomy places the organism in Eukaryota, Viridiplantae, Streptophyta, Magnoliopsida, Rosales, Rosaceae. The record is from RefSeq and is a predicted model, not a curated record.